Long non-coding RNA from Belonocnema kinseyi, 879 nucleotides. RefSeq lists it as uncharacterized. The record is from RefSeq and is a predicted model, not a curated record. The transcript is spliced from 3 exons. Lineage: Eukaryota; Metazoa; Arthropoda; Insecta; Hymenoptera; Cynipidae.
CACGUACUGUUAGCGCUUUAUGAAUGUCAGUGUUUUUCUUGACGUACGACAAUUUUCUAACUAAAAAUCAAUAUAAUAGAAUAAAAAAAUGAUUUAAAUAUUUCGUGGACUAGUGAGUUGUGCAACAUGACGUCGCCCACGAGGUUAUUCUUAGAUAGGUGGAAAUGCCUGGAUGGUUAGCACAGUGCUUGACAUAGGAGUGCCGGAAACUUUGUUGGAUAAAAUAUUAUAAACGCAAAGAAAGACGGCUGUUUGGACUUCUUUUUUAACUGGUCAACCACUGAUUGGGGCGUCACUACACAGCCCGUACAGGGACCGUGUUGGGAGAUAACAGAACUGCGCAAUUUCGAAUAAGCGAGUAUAGGGGAUAUCAAAUAAAUCAACUUUCCACAAGGCGAUCGUUAGAAUAGGGCCGAACAUUUCCAGGAAACAGAUAAGAGAUUUGUGUUUAAGUAUUUGCAAUCUGCUAAGAAUGAAUAGUAGUACCUGGCGAAUGCGCAGUCGCAGGAAGAAGAGGUACCUGGCGGAUGGGCAUAGCAUUACUCAGUUCUUCAGCGGACUAAAACCUAUUUAGUCGACGGUGACGUCACCAAUGGAGAAAACACUAACUCAGAUCCUUCUCAAUGACCAUUUAAGUCAAAAGUUCCAGCACAGGUAUUGCAGAAAAUUUUAUAACCCUCAGUAUUUUUGAUUUUGCAAUAAAUAAUUUUCUGGUAAAAAAUUCAGAACUUGUAGAUCCUCACAACUAUAGGCAUCUAAUGCAGAUGACAUAGAGCUGCUAGCAAAGAGCGAAGAGGCUCUGAAGGAGAUCAUGAAAAGGUUGAGUAAAUAUUUGGACAAAAAUAGGUUAGAGUUAUAUACGGACAAAUCGAAGAUUAU